Long non-coding RNA from Salvelinus fontinalis (brook trout), 2192 nucleotides. RefSeq lists it as uncharacterized. Lineage: Eukaryota; Metazoa; Chordata; Actinopteri; Salmoniformes; Salmonidae. The transcript has 5 exons. The record is from RefSeq and is a predicted model, not a curated record.
GUGUGCUGGGAGGUGGAGCAAAUCAAAAACAACACUCUGGCAUGCUCUCUCUUUCUCUGUUUCGCAGUACCAGUAGCCAUAUGGCUAGACUAGAGCCCGAGUCUCACAGUGAUGCCAGCUCCUGAACAGGUGUGACAAAGUGAAAAUGUAGAGUUUCCGUCAACCUCGCACGCAAUGUAGAUCUCAAAGAACGCCGCGGUUCGCGGGAGAGUAUUGGGUGAAACCAUUCACACCAGGAAAAGGUGUGAUAUAAAUCACGUUUCCUUUUCAUUAUGUGUUGUGUGAAUUAAUACGAAUAUUUGCUGCCAUUGUAGUAAGGCUGGCAAUUCGAGAGGUCUUCGGACGUACCAGUUUUGUAUUAUUUUGUUUGAAAGAACAACUAGUGGGUUGAGUGCUUCUCUCCUAUCUCUCCUCAGUCAGAGGUAUUCCGAGAGCAGGGUUGUCUCCUUCCUUUGUUUAUAAAAAAAAACACGUUUAAAACGGUAUAACACAAUAGUGUCUUUUGAAGAACGGGUUCACAUAUCCCAAAGUCAAUAGCGAAUGAGACUAUUUAUCUUGCCUUUAAUGUAUUUAAGGCGUAUUUCGGCAAGUUAACCCAAGUUCUGGCUGGCUUAGCUAGCCAUGUUAUUGACGAGCUAACUAGCACCGUCGGUCACUGCACUAGAAUGUCACGCUAACGUUAGCUAUUGCUAGCAGUGAACGUGUGGCUGUGACCGUCCAGUCAAUGCCUGUCAUCACUGUUUAACAUCUUUUACUGCAGCAGAUAAAAACCGAGUCAACAUGAAGUGUGGGUGUCCGUGUGCCUUUCGUCUGUGGGGCUAUGUGAAGUAGGUUACACAGAUCCAUCUGGGUAGGAAGAGCACCGUGCCCCAACCCCCUCUUCCUCCAGUGGUUUACUGAGCUACGGGACCAAGCGGCAGAGAGGGGACAGAAGAUGCAGUAUGUUUAUCAGAAGAUAUCUAUCACACACACUCAGGCUAUAAUCACUUACACUAUGUGUAUCAGAAGGUAACUGGCUAGAUAAGCUGGGUUGGAACUAUAAAGCCUUCAUACCCCAGGACACUUGCUACUGGCGUCCCUCAGGGUGUGUAGGCUUUUGUUCCAAACCAGUACUAAAACACACCUGACUCAUUGCUAACAAGAUCAUCAUCUAGUCAUUGACUAGCUGAAUCAGGUGUGUUAGUGCUGGGCUGGCACAAAAGCCUGCCCUGAAGCUAACAGGACAUGUUUUCUGUUGCAUAUCUCUGUCCCUCCCUCUCUCCAUUUUAUUCAUUUAACCUUUUAUUUAACUAGGCAAGUCUGUUAAGAACAAAUUCUUCUUUACAAUGACGGCCUACUAGAGGGAUGUGCGCCGCCCUAUGGGACUCCCAAUCACGGCUGGUUGUGAUACAGCCCAGGAUCGAACCAGGGUCUGUAGUGAUGCCUCUAGCACUGAGAUGCAGUGCCUUAGACCGCUGCGCCACUCGCCAUUCCAUCUCACCAGGCUAUCAGUUCAUUGAAGAAGUUCCCCCUACCCCUUCACAACGCUUGAGAGACAAAGAUUCUACAAAACUUGGGAGAUGGAAUUUGUAAGAUACUGGAUGAGAAGUUACCGAGGCACUACAGAGAAAAUGGUCCGGACACUUCCAUCCACCUCCUCCCUGCUCGUGUGACGGCAGCCCCCCCUAGUUGCCGUAGCAGCAACAACCUGGCUCCGUCCAAACAGCCCUCGAGGGAAGGAGAGAGUAUGUACCCCAGAAGAGGUCUGGAGAAUAUGCUGUCCUACUAACACUGUCAACAGAAAGGCCCAGGUUCCUGGUGGUCAAGAGCUUUAUGUUUAGACUGGAGCAACAGGCUAAGGCCCAGCAUCUGUGUGACAAGUCCUCAUGACAAUAUUCACAAAAACGUUGCUACAUCCUUUCUACAACUUUACGGUUCAGUGUUUUUAUAACACAUUACACUGUCUCUCUCUGCGUACAUGCCCUGGCAGAACACAGCCUGAGACCCCCCCUGCAGCAGGCUGUAGUUAACACACAGGUACACACAGAACAGAGUUCGAUUUGGUGCAACUCAACUUGUACACAUACAUACACACAGGUAUGACCAGUGGUGACCCGUCAUUGAGCCCCACCUGUUUAGCUAAAAUAAAUAAUUAGAAAUAACUGUUUUGCAUGUUAUUUUGGCAUUAAUACGUGACACAUGUCAGUUUGCAA